RNAcentral lists this ribosomal RNA (500 nucleotides) under uncultured bacterium. Its description in RNAcentral is "partial 16S ribosomal RNA". It matches the Rfam family "Bacterial small subunit ribosomal RNA", at positions 28 to 507 of the family's 1533-position model. The record is from RNAcentral.
GACGAACGCUGGCGGCGUGCCUAAUACAUGCAAGUCGUGCGGACCUUGUUGAAAGCUUGCUUUUAAAAGGUUAGCGGCGGACGGGUGAGUAACACGUGGGCAACCUGCCUGUAAGACUGGGAUAACGCCGGGAAACCGGGGCUAAUACCAGAUCGUUUUUUCCUCCGCAUGGAGGAAAAAGGAAAGGCGGCUUCGGCUGCCACUUACAGAUGGGCCCGCGGCGCAUUAGCUAGUUGGCGGGGUAAUGGCCCACCAAGGCAACGAUGCGUAGCCGACCUGAGAGGGUGAUCGGCCACAUUGGGACUGAGACACGGCCCAAACUCCUACGGGAGGCAGCAGUAGGGAAUCUUCCGCAAUAGACGAAAGUCUGACGGAGCAACGCCGCGUGAGUGAAGAAGGCCGUCGGGUCGUAAAACUCUGUUGCCGGGGAAGAACAAGUUCCGUUCGAACAGGGCGGCGCCUUGACGGUACCCGGCCAGAAAGCCACGGCUAACUACGUG